Oncorhynchus tshawytscha (Chinook salmon) is the source of this 1107-nucleotide long non-coding RNA. The record is from Ensembl. NCBI's taxonomy places the organism in Eukaryota, Metazoa, Chordata, Actinopteri, Salmoniformes, Salmonidae.
AACCGAUCCAUCAUGACUGGUCUGCCGACAUAAUCGUCUGAUGUGGUUUCAACAGGCUUUUCCGUUGUGAUGUCGCUUUAGACCCAUCUGCUAGCCCCGGCCCGCUAGCUUUCCGAACGGCAUGCCUCCUUCUCGCCUAUCAUAGUAGCGACUACCGAACGGCUACCUGACACACCUCAUUGGACCCUAUGAUCACUCGGCUACACAUGCCUGUCAAUGUGCUGUUUUGGUUGGGACCAACAUGGUUGAGUACCUGCACCAGGCGGAGGUGACCAGACCCUACCCAUUUGUGUUGGUUCUUCGGGACUGCUCACGGUUGUUUACAGUCAUUAGUGGACCGGCAAUGGAGCAAGGUACACUGCUUGGGUCACAGGAUGUGUGCUUCAAGUCUUAUUAUGUGUUUGAUAUCAACUUUCCCACUUUGCCCCAGCAUGGGAAUUCCUAUAGACCAUGGUGUAUCAGCUGCCAGAUACAGUAUCUCCUGCAGUAAGACUGUUGCAAGCAUGUAUUUUUUCCACUGAACAAUAGUGGAUAAGUAUCUGCUCUUGUAUGUAGUGUGAGAAGGGACCGGAGGAAACAAGUGUUCCUGUGAAUUAAUAGAUCAAUGGAUGGAUGGAUGGAUGAGCCACGAGGUUCUCAUUCCAUUGCUCUUAAGGCACUAUUUAUAGCUUUUUGCCUACAGUACAGUAUGUAUCUCAUUUGCCUUUAGUUUAACUACUGAAGCAUGUUCUGGUACAUAUUCAUUCUAUCGUAACAAUUUAUUUUAAAUACAAAUGUUACAUUUUGGGGAUUGUGAUUGAGUCAUUAGUCCAUGUCCUUAGUAUAGUGACCUUCAAAUGUAAUAUUUUACACUUGUUCUGUGUAACAAUGUUUUAAUUCGACCCAAAUGUAGACCAUUAUUGUAUGGCAAAACAGCAUGUGUGUGCUGUCACCUAAGAUAGUCGAAGUGUGUCAGUGAACGUGAAUAUCUACUGAUUUACCUCUGCCUUAAGUGGUAUUAACACAGAUCUGUGUUAAUACCACUUAAGACAGACAGUGUCACAUGCACGCAUGCUUUGUUUUUUCUCCAAUUUCAAGUGUGCACAUCAAUUUCAACUGAGGCUUUAG